CCUACGGCGGCUGCAGUGGGGAAUAUUGGACAAUGGGCGAAAGCCUGAUCCAGCCAUGCCGCGUGUGUGAAGAAGGCCUUCGGGUUGUAAAGCACUUUCAGUGGGGAAGAAAGCCUUGGGGCUAAUACCCUCGAGGAAGGACAUCACCCACAGAAGAAGCACCGGCUAACUCCGUGCCAGCAGCCGCGGUAAUACGGAGGGUGCGAGCGUUAAUCGGAAUUACUGGGCGUAAAGCGCGCGUAGGCGGUCUGAUAAGCCGGUUGUGAAAGCCCCGGGCUCAACCUGGGAACGGCAUCCGGAACUGUCAGGCUAGAGGGCAGGAGAGGAAGGUAGAAUUCCCGGUGUAGCGGUGAAAUGCGUAGAGAUCGGGAGGAAUACCAGUGGCGAAGGCGGCCUUCUGGACUGACACUGACGCUGAGGUGCGAAAGCGUGGGUAGCAAACAGGAUUAGAUACCCGAGUAGUC
Molecule: ribosomal RNA, 464 nt
Filed under: Vreelandella stevensii
Lineage: Bacteria; Pseudomonadati; Pseudomonadota; Gammaproteobacteria; Oceanospirillales; Halomonadaceae
Description: partial 16S ribosomal RNA
Rfam family: Bacterial small subunit ribosomal RNA
Source: RNAcentral